RNAcentral lists this long non-coding RNA (286 nucleotides) under Elaeis guineensis (African oil palm). RNAcentral describes it as "long non-coding RNA (EGUI_LNC036663)". The record is from RNAcentral. Lineage: Eukaryota; Viridiplantae; Streptophyta; Magnoliopsida; Arecales; Arecaceae.
CGACAUGAUGAAAACACCCCAAAAUCCAUCCAAAAUUAGGAAAAGUGGUGUGGCAAUAGUUGUUCAUGCCAUCAGUUACAAAGUAUGUACAAGACUAUGUCAGAGGCCAUUGCCAAGCAAAAUGCAAGGCAAAAAAGCCCUGACAGACUCCCCCACUUGAUCAGAUCGAUGUCCUCGUCGAUGUGCUCCUUUUAUAUGCUUCAAUCCGAUCCUCCUCAUGCCGUAGCAAAUCCUUCGAUUCCCAGCUGGCUUCUGACUCAGAAAGCCUCUCCACUUCACCAAGUAC